Long non-coding RNA from Triticum aestivum (bread wheat), 764 nucleotides. RefSeq lists it as uncharacterized. The record is from RefSeq and is a predicted model, not a curated record. The transcript is spliced from 4 exons. NCBI's taxonomy places the organism in Eukaryota, Viridiplantae, Streptophyta, Magnoliopsida, Poales, Poaceae.
CACUGCCUCACUCUCUUCCUCUCUCAUCUCGCUGAAUGCUCUCUCGGCGCCGUCACCCGGCGGUUCGAUCCCUCCGCCGCCGUACGACGUCUCGCGCCACUACUAGGCACCGAGCCCACGCGCCCGCAGAUCGGUGAUCGUCGGCAGUCAUAUUUGACUUGGAUGGGCGGAAGAGCUCGCUGUCUGGAUCUAGGUGGCACUACCUCCCUUAGAGCUGGUCGUGGGAGAAGCCGUCACGCAUCUUGCGGCCUGCCGCCGCCGCAGGUCAGCUGCUCCCGCCGGCCGCAUGCCCCACUGCCCGGCCGCCGUGCUCCGCUGUGGCGCUGCUGACUCUCCUGCUCGUCGCGUGGUGGCCUCAUCUCUCGCCCUUCUCAUUUGCAUCCAGCCACAGCUCUGCCUCCUUCCUCAUGCCGCUCGAGCUGUUCCAGUGAGGCUACAAAGCAGUCUAAUACUGGCUUCAGGGCCUCACAUAUUCGCAUGGCGCUUUCUGAAGUGUAACUCUUAUGGGCCAGAGCUAUUUACUAGUCUGAUUUCUCCUGGGUAUACUCUGCUUUCGGGUGUCUGAUCUGACGACAAGAAUAUUGUGUCGACGGUCAACAUGGACUGUAAAUUGGAACUGGAAGCAAUAGCUCUCUAGGCACGCAAUGCAGAGUAUAACCCCAAGGUUAGCCCAAGAUGAAAGAGUGAGGUCCCCAUGGACGUUGUAUCAUCCCACAGUAGUGGUACUGGCCCAAUCGUGCAUUAUGAAUUGCCAACUGCUGAUG